CCUACGGGAGGCAGCAGUGGGGAAUAUUGCUCAAUGGGCGAAACCCUGAUGCAGCGACGCCGCGUGAGUGAAGAAGUAUCUCGGUAUGUUAAGCCCCAUCUGCAGGGAAGCAAAUGACGGUACCUGUCUAAGAAUCCCCGGCCAUCAACGUGCCAGCAGCGGUGGCAAUAAGGAGGGGGCAGGCGUUAUCCGGAUUUACUGGGUGUAAAGGGGGCGUAUGUGGCAGGGCAAGUCAGAUGUGAAAACCCGGGGCUCAACCCCGGGAGUGCGUUUGAAACUGGCCCGCUGGAGUGCAGGAGAGGUAAGCGGAAUUCCUAGUGUAGCGGUGAAAUGCAUAGAUAUUAGGAGGAACACCGGUGGCGAAGGCGGCUUACUGGACUGUAACUGACACUGAGGCUCGAAAGCGUGGGGAGCAAACAGGAUUAGAUACCCGAGUAGUC
RNAcentral lists this ribosomal RNA (440 nucleotides) under uncultured bacterium. RNAcentral describes it as "partial 16S ribosomal RNA". It matches the Rfam family "Bacterial small subunit ribosomal RNA", at positions 338 to 795 of the family's 1533-position model. The record is from RNAcentral.